MicroRNA precursor from Vitis vinifera (wine grape), 115 nucleotides. It matches the Rfam family "mir-399 microRNA precursor family". From Rfam's summary of the family: mir-399 was identified in both Arabidopsis thaliana and Oryza sativa computationally and was later experimentally verified. mir-399 is thought to target mRNAs coding for a phosphatase transporter. The mature sequence is excised from the 3' arm of the hairpin. The record is from Rfam. Lineage: Eukaryota; Viridiplantae; Streptophyta; Magnoliopsida; Vitales; Vitaceae.
GGAUGAAUUGCUGGGCAAUACUCCAUUGGCAGUUGGCCACUCGGCUGACCGCGGUUGACUUCACAAGUAGCAGACUAAGCUCACUGCCAAAGGAGAUUUGCCCCUCAAUUCAGCU